AGGUACGGCCACACCGCCUGGUUCACGCCCGAUCUCGUUUGAUCUCGGAAGCUAAGAUAGGGUGGGCCUGGUUAGUACUUGGAUGGGAGACCGCCUGGGAAUACCAGGUGUUGUAAGAU
This 119-nucleotide ribosomal RNA is filed under the name Scophthalmus maximus (turbot). Lineage: Eukaryota; Metazoa; Chordata; Actinopteri; Pleuronectiformes; Scophthalmidae. The record is from RNAcentral.